RNAcentral lists this ribosomal RNA (1400 nucleotides) under metagenome. Its description in RNAcentral is "bacterial LSU rRNA". It matches the Rfam family "Bacterial large subunit ribosomal RNA", at positions 1537 to 2925 of the family's 2925-position model. The record is from RNAcentral.
AAAAAUCCGGGGGGCUAAGCUGAGGCGUGAUGACGAGGAACCACGGUUCCGAAGUGAUUGAUACCAAGCUUCCAGGAAAAGCCACUAAGCUUCAGUCUAGAGUUGACCGUACCGCAAACCGACACAGGUGGGCAGGACGAAAAUUCUAAGGCGCUUGAGAGAACUCAGGAGAAGGAACUCGGCAAAUUAACACCGUAACUUCGGGAGAAGGUGUGCCCCGGUAGCGUGUAGAGACUUGCUCUCGAAGCGCGAUGGGGUUGCAGUGAAAUGGUGGCUGCGACUGUUUAAUUAAAACACAGCACUCUGCAAACACGAAAGUGGACGUAUAGGGUGUGACGCCUGCCCGGUGCCGGAAGGUUAAGUGAUGGGGUGCAAGCUCUUGAUCGAAGCCCCGGUAAACGGCGGCCGUAACGAUAACGGUCCUAAGGUAGCGAAAUUCCUUGUCGGGUAAGUUCCGACCUGCACGAAUGGCGUAACGAUGGCCACACUGUCUCCUCCUGGGACUCAGCGAAGUUGAAAUGUUUGUGAAGAUGCAAUCUACCCGCGGCUAGACGGAAAGACCCCAUGAACCUUUACUGUAGCUUUGCAUUGGACUUUGAACCGGUUUGUGUAGGAUAGGUGGGAGACUGUGAAGCCGGGACGCUAGUUUCGGUGGAGUCAACCUUGAAAUACCACCCUGAUUUGUUUGAGGUUCUAACCUUGGUCCGCGAAUCCGGAUCGGGGACCGUGCAUGGUAGGCAGUUUGACUGGGGCGGUCUCCUCCCAAAAGGUAACGGAGGAGUACGAAGGUACGCUUAGGGCGGUCGGACAUCGCCCACAAAGUGCAAUGGCAAAAGCGUGCUUGACUGCGAGACCCACAAGUCGAGCAGGUACGAAAGUAGGUCAUAGUGAUCCGGUGGUUCUGUAUGGAAGGGCCAUCGCUCAACGGAUAAAAGGUACUCUGGGGAUAACAGGCUAAUUCCUCCCAAGAGUUCAUAUCGACGGGGGAGUUUGGCACCUCGAUGUCGGCUCAUCACAUCCUGGGGCUGUAGUCGGUCCCAAGGGUAUGGCUGUUCGCCAUUUAAAGUGGUACGCGAGCUGGGUUUAAAACGUCGUGAGACAGUUUGUCCCUAUCUGCCGUGGGCGCUGGAAAUUUGAAGGGGGCUGCUCCUAGUACGAGAGGACCGGAGUGGACGAACCUCUGGUGUACCGGUUAUGACGCCAGUCGUAUCGCCGGGUAGCUAAGUUCGGAAGAGAUAAACGCUGAAAGCAUCUAAGCGUGAAACUCGCCUUAAGAUAAGAUUUCCCGGAGUCUUGAACUCCCUGAAGGGUCGUCGAAGACCACGACGUUGAUAGGUCAGGUGUGGAAGCGCAGCAAUGCGUUAAGCUAACUGAUACUAAUUGCCCGUGUGGCUUGAUCC